CUUGCAGAGCAAGCCCGGGUAUGGCCUGAGCCAUCUUCCCACAGCCAGGGGAUUAUUUUUUCCCACAGAACGUCCCCUCACAGCACAGGUCAUGGGUAAAGUGCGCAUGCCUUCAGCAGCAGCUCGGAUGCUUCCUCUUCACCGUCACGGUGCCGCGGAGUGAUCUGCCAGCGCCAGGAGGACGCAUCUACUCCCAAUGUUCUCAGUCAAGGACAGCUCCCCUGAAGAGGCUCCCUGCCCCAUGAUGACAGCCACCGCAGGUCAUGCUUCCACUCAGUGUGGACAACGGAACUGCCCACGGUCUGGGCCAUCGGAGACAGUACUGACCCUCACACUUGGAGAUCCAUCAGCCCACUUGCUAAUGAUCAUCUUCCAAAUGGGACUUUCCAACUCCUACGUGGGCCUUACCCCUUCAUAAAACCUGGAGACAUCCCAGCUCCGGCACGGCACCUCUAAGCAUUUCAAAUCAAAGAAAAAGUGACCAGUUCUAAAUCCCAAAUUAUUUUGCCUUCGUUUGUAGAGAGAAUUCACACACGCACGCAUGCACGUGCAUACACACACACACACACACCUGACCUCCACAGUAUACCCCACUCAGGAACUGUCACAUAAUCUCCCUGAUUCCAGGUAUAGGCAAGUCUAUACAAUGAAAUCAGCAUAGCCUGAGAGUAGAUCAUAUAAGCACACAUGGAGGCCAGAGGUCAACACUGAUGUCUUCUUCUAUAGCUCUCAUUUUAGGGGUCGGUCGGGGUCUCUUACUGAACUUGGAACUCAUCAGUUCAGCGAGUUUGCCUGAUCAGUGAAGCCCAAAGAUCUGUGUCUUCACCCGGCCCAGUGUUAGGGUUUCAGGCACACACUAGUUGGGUUCUGGGGUACAACCUCAAGGUCUCAUGCGCACUCACCCAGCAGAUCCCCUGGGCCUGCUCCGAGUGCAGUCCAUCGCUGCACACCCAAGGUCAGUUCCCUUUCCUACCAGCUGUUUGAACACUGCAAAGAGAAUCCAAGUUGAUUUUAAAGUCCCUCCCGGGUUUAGUUUGAGUGACUUACAGUCUUAGAUCCUCAUUUCCAAUGGCCUUGUAGACCUGUUCUGCAGGCCAUACCACCCUCCCCUACUUUACUAACAGACAGAAAAAACCAGCAGAAUAAGGAAGACCAGGACCCUGAAAUACUGGUUUUUAUGAUUCUCUAAAGGUGUGAAAACCAGGAGCUGGGCAAAGCCCAUGAAGGUACGGCAUGAGGGGAGGAGGUUUCAGGAACCAGAGGGCGUACUUGACUUGGAAUGUUAAAGCUCUGGUGUUUGGUUCUGACAACAGCGUUCACACACUGCUCUGAGUACAAGGCCGGGAGCUCUGGAGAGCUGGGGUAGAAGAACAAGUUGGUCAUUUUUGGUGGGCCGCUCAGCUCCGCCUC
Molecule: long non-coding RNA, 1410 nt
Organism: Mus musculus (house mouse)
Lineage: Eukaryota; Metazoa; Chordata; Mammalia; Rodentia; Muridae
Product: predicted gene, 46799
Exons: 2
Source: RefSeq, a predicted model, not a curated record